This 350-nucleotide unclassified non-coding RNA is filed under the name plant metagenome. Its description in RNAcentral is "partial contains 5.8S ribosomal RNA, internal transcribed spacer 2, and large subunit ribosomal RNA". The stretch from base 1 to 105 matches the Rfam family "5.8S ribosomal RNA", at positions 50 to 154 of the family's 154-position model. The record is from RNAcentral.
GAAAUGCGAUAAGUAAUGUGAAUUGCAGAAUUCAGUGAAUCAUCGAAUCUUUGAACGCACCUUGCGCUCCUUGGUAUUCCGAGGAGCAUGCCUGUUUGAGUGUCAUGGAAUUCUCAACUCUAUUUGCUUUUGUGAAUAGAGCUUGGAUUUGGAGGUUUAUUGCUGGUACUUGUGAUCGGCUCCUCUUGAAUGCAUUAGCUCGAACCUUUGCGGAUCAGCUAUCGGUGUGAUAAUUGUCUACGCCGUUGCAGUGAAGCAUAUCAAUGGGCUCGGCUUCCAAUCGUCCUUUACUGGACAAUGACUUUGACCUUUGACCUCAAAUCAGGUAGGGAUACCCGCUGAACUUAAGC